CCUACGGGAGGCAGCAGUGGGGAAUAUUGCACAAUGGGGGAAACCCUGAUGCAGCGACGCCGCGUGAGUGAAGAAGUAUUUCGGUACGUAAAGCUCUAUCAGCAGGGAAGAAAAUGACGGUACCUGACUAAGAAGCACCGGCUAACUACGUGCCAGCAGCCGCGGUAAUACGUAGGGGGCAAGCGUUAUCCGGAUUUACUGGGGGUAAAGGGAGCGUAGACGGUUACGCAAGUCUGGAGUGAAAGGCGGGGGCACAACCCCCGGACUGCUUUGGAAACUGUAUAACUGGAGUGCAGGAGAGGUAAGUGGAAUUCCUAGUGUAGCGGUGAAAUGCGUAGAUAUUAGGAGGAACACCAGUGGCGAAGGCGGCUUACUGGACUGUAACUGACGUUGAGGCUCGAAAGCGUGGGGAGCAAACAGGAUUAGAUACCCCGGUAGUC
This 440-nucleotide ribosomal RNA is filed under the name uncultured bacterium. RNAcentral's name for it is "partial 16S ribosomal RNA". It matches the Rfam family "Bacterial small subunit ribosomal RNA", at positions 338 to 795 of the family's 1533-position model. The record is from RNAcentral.